RNAcentral lists this ribosomal RNA (385 nucleotides) under Eukaryota sp. Its description in RNAcentral is "partial small subunit ribosomal RNA". It matches the Rfam family "Eukaryotic small subunit ribosomal RNA", at positions 582 to 975 of the family's 1831-position model. The record is from RNAcentral.
AUUCCAGCUCCAAGAGCGUAUAUUAAAGUUGCUGCGGUUAAAAAGCUCGUAGUUGGAUUUCAGUCUAGGAAGGUUAACUCGCCGAAAGGUUGUACGUUGAUUUUCCUCAGACUUCGUCAGAAGCUCGUGCUGCACUUAACUGUGUGGUACGAUGUUCUGACCUUUUACCUUGAGGAAAGUAGAGUGUUUCAGGCAGGCUACCCAGCUUGAAUACAUUAGCAUGGAAUAAUGAAAUGGAUCUCGGUUCGAUUUCGUUGGUUCUAGAGCUGAGGUGAUGAUCAAUAGGAACAGGCGAAGGUAUUCGUACUUGAGAGUGAGGAGUGAAAUCCGAUGAUCUCAUAAAGACGAUCCGAGGCGAAAGCAUUUGUCAAGGAUGUUUUCAUCA